Molecule: non-coding RNA, 74 nt
Organism: Schizophyllum amplum
Lineage: Eukaryota; Fungi; Basidiomycota; Agaricomycetes; Agaricales; Schizophyllaceae
Source: the annotation of a GenBank genome assembly
GACCUGGUAGCUCAGUUGGAUAGAGCAUCAGCAUUAAUAGCGGAAGGCCUCUGGUUCGAUUCCAGACCGGGUCA